UUGAUGUUGGGUGUCUUUAAUUGCUCUCUACCUUAUGUUUUAAGACAGAAUCUGUCUGGGCCUGGAGCUUCUUAUCUGAUAAGCCAGCUGGUUAGAAAGUUCUAGAAUCCACCCAUCUCUGCCCCUUAAAUGCCUGACGCUAGCCAUGUGCCACACUCAGCUUGUACAUGGUUGCCAGGACUCAAACUCAAGGUCUCAUGUUUUCACAGCAAUCACAUUACCCACUGAGCCUUCUCCUCAGCCUGCUAGCCCAUCUUGCUCCCAAGAACUAACCACCAUGAAUCCCUGCUGUGUGGUCGUGGUAACAGGGCAUAGUGAGACAGAUUGUCUGGUCUCACACAAGCAGGGACUGCAAAGAGGAUCUGCGGUCACAUUGAAGGCAGGAAGGAGGUGCCAAAACUGAAUCUGAGUUUCAGUCAUCAGGCACACUGGUUGGAGGCUUCACGUGGACCUGUUUGAAUAUGUGUGCAAUAUGCCAUAUAUGACAGCAUGCCAGCUGAAAGUGUGGUUCAAGACUUGCUGCUAAGACUCAUUCGGAAAUGGGGCAUUACAAGCACCUCAUAUCCUGACCCCACUUGGUGAUUCUUCAUGAAACAUUUCUCUACCCAGAGAUGCCCCUGCAAUUUGAAAAUCUUUUAAACUCCUACUCCUGGAAAUACAUGAAUGGGCAGCUGAGGGUCAGCCAGCUAGAUGCUGUAUCUGGGUGGCUCCCAGUGAUAUCUCAGGGAACCAAAAACAGAUUCAGAGGCCAAGGUCAGGAUGGGAUCCCUACACACAAUAUUUAGCUUUGUUUUGUUAACUGAAACAGAGUCUCAUUCUGUUGCCCAGAUUGACCUUUAACACAAAACAAUUGUCCUGCCUUAGUCUCCCAGGGCUGGGAUUACAGCUGUGUAACUGGCAGGCCUGGCUCGCAGACAUAAGUGUCUGCAUUCCCAACAACUGUCCUAAAGGCUCCUUACCUUGGAUCAGGGUGGUAUUGGGAGACAGGCAAAAAUGUCCGUGGAGGACAUUUGUUUCCUAGGGAGGAUAGCUCUGGGACUUUGCCAACUGAAGUACCUGGUGGUACCCACUGUUAAUGAUGUCACCAGCAUCACAAUAGCACCUCUUUGGUUAGCUCUCUUCAUGGCCAGAUGACAUGG
Molecule: long non-coding RNA, 1139 nt
Organism: Mus musculus (house mouse)
Lineage: Eukaryota; Metazoa; Chordata; Mammalia; Rodentia; Muridae
Product: predicted gene, 35689
Exons: 3
Source: RefSeq, a predicted model, not a curated record